UUGACCUCGGAUCAGGUAGGGAUACCCGCUGAACUUAAGCAUAUCAAUAAGCGGAGGAAAAGAAACCAACAGGGAUUACCUCAGUAACGGCGAGUGAAGCGGUAAGAGCUCAAAUUUGAAAGCUGGCUCCUUCGGGGUCCGCAUUGUAAUUUGCAGAGGAUGUUUCGGGAGCAGCCCCCAUCUAAGUGUCCUGGAACGGACCGUCAUAGAGGGUGAGAAUCCCGUAUGGGAUGGGGUGUCUGCGCCCAUGUGAAACUCCUUCGACGAGUCGAGUUGUUUGGGAAUGCAGCUCUAAAUGGGUGGUAAAUUUCAUCUAAAGCUAAAUAUUGGCCGGAGACCGAUAGCGCACAAGUAGAGUGAUCGAAAGAUGAAAAGCACUUUGAAAAGAGAGUUAAAAAGCACGUGAAAUUGUUGAAAGGGAAGCGCUUGCGAUCAGACUCGCCUUGGGGGUUCAGCCGGCAUUCGUGCCGGUGUACUUCCCCCAGGGCGGGCCAGCGUCGGUUUGGGUGGCUGGUCAAAGGCCCUUGGAAUGUAACGCCUCUCGGGGCGUCUUAUAGCCAAGGGUGCCAUGCAGCCUACCUGGACCGAGGAACGCGCUUCGGCUCGGACGC
Molecule: ribosomal RNA, 611 nt
Filed under: Penicillium purpurescens
Lineage: Eukaryota; Fungi; Ascomycota; Eurotiomycetes; Eurotiales; Aspergillaceae
Description: eukaryotic LSU rRNA
Rfam family: Eukaryotic large subunit ribosomal RNA
Source: RNAcentral